This 281-nucleotide long non-coding RNA is filed under the name Sorghum bicolor (sorghum). RNAcentral's name for it is "long non-coding RNA (SBIC_LNC016495)". The record is from RNAcentral. Lineage: Eukaryota; Viridiplantae; Streptophyta; Magnoliopsida; Poales; Poaceae.
GCUAGGUUCUUUGUUCUAACCGAUAUUCUAUACUGGUGAAGAGAAUUCAGUCCAUCAAACAACUAUUACAGCUUGUUAAUUUGCCAGGUGCAUGCCAAUAUGAUUGUGUACAUAUAAUUGAUGACCUAAUAGCUCAACAUACAAUGCACUUGAUUGAUGGUUAAUUAAUGGGCCAUUUGCAUAGCUACCCCUAUUCUCAGACUCAAUUGCUCGUUUGCCUCUAUUUUUUAAACUUUACUUGUUUCCCCUGUUUUUUUUAAAUCGAAGGCUUCAGUUGCCCC